Molecule: transfer RNA, 56 nt
Filed under: Ovis aries (sheep)
Lineage: Eukaryota; Metazoa; Chordata; Mammalia; Artiodactyla; Bovidae
Rfam family: tRNA
About the family: Transfer RNA (tRNA) molecules are approximately 80 nucleotides in length. Their secondary structure includes four short double-helical elements and three loops (D, anti-codon, and T loops).
Source: Rfam by way of RNAcentral
UGGCUCAGAGGUUAAAGCGUCUGCCUGGAAUGCAGGAGACCUGGGUUAAAUCCCUG